This 468-nucleotide ribosomal RNA is filed under the name uncultured bacterium. RNAcentral describes it as "partial 16S ribosomal RNA". It matches the Rfam family "Bacterial small subunit ribosomal RNA", at positions 28 to 507 of the family's 1533-position model. The record is from RNAcentral.
GACGAACGCUGGCGGCGUGCUUAACACAUGCAAGUCGAACGGACGGGCCCUACUUUUGCGGGGUGCUCGUGAGGCGAACGGGUGAGUGACACGUGUGUAUCAUGUCCUUGACUUUGGGAUAACUUCAGGAGACUGGGGCUCAUAUCGGGUAGAAGCUUCUGCUGCACGGUGGGGGUUGGAAAGUUUCGGCGGUUGGGGCUGGACUCGCGGCUUAUCCGCUUGUUGGUGAGGUAGUGGCUUACCAAGGCUUUGACGGGUAGCCGGCCUGAGAGCGCGACCGGCCACAUGGGGACUGAGAUACGGCCCAGACGCCUACGGGAGGCAGCAGUGGGGAAUAUUGCACAACGGGCGGAAGCCAGAGGCAGCAACGCCGCGUGCGUGAUGACGGCCUUCGAGGUGUAAACCGCUGUCGCCUGAGACGAAGCGUUAGUGACGGUAAUGGGUAAAGAAGCACCGGCUAACUACGUG